Long non-coding RNA from Camellia sinensis, 897 nucleotides. RefSeq lists it as uncharacterized. Lineage: Eukaryota; Viridiplantae; Streptophyta; Magnoliopsida; Ericales; Theaceae. The record is from RefSeq and is a predicted model, not a curated record.
ACUUAUAUUUUCAAACAAAAACUUGCGAGCUCCAAUAACCCACUCAGCCCAAUUUAUAUUUUUCAUUUUUCUUAAACUCUCAUUUCCCCCAAAUCGCUCGAUCAUUGAUUUAUAUCUUGCCCUGGACUCUUAUUUUCCCCAAAUCGCUCGAUCGUGUCUGAGUAACUAGGUUCAUUGUUAGAUCAAGAGCCCUCUCUCGAUUUCGCUCUGUAGAUCACCACGGUCGUCUAAAGAAGAAAUCUCCAACGGUAGUUUGAUUCUAGAAACAAGCUUUGGUUUGAAUCAAUGCUUCCUCAACUGUUAUUAAUUUGAGAGAAAUGAAUCAAGAAAUGAAUAUUAGAGAGCAUUCAUAUUAUCUUUGGUUUGUUAUAUCUUAGAGAGGAUUGAUGCUAUUAAUCAAGAAAUUAUUCAGCUGAAGAAGGGAAUUCACCAACAGUUUUCAGGGGCACAAGGGAUGGAUCAAUGAAAUGAACUUGUUGGGUGUAGUCAAGCACCAAAAUCUUGUACAGUUAGUGGGAUAUUGUGCAAAAGAUUAUGAAAGAGGGAUUCAACAGCUUUUGGUGUAUGAGCUUAUGCAUAACAAAAGCUUAGAGGACCAUCUGUUGGCUCGGGUAGCGUCUUCUCUGCCAUGGAUGGCAAGAUUAAAAAUUGCUCAAGAUGCAGCUCGUGGUUUGGCUUAUCUACAUGGAGAAAUGGACUUUGGAGGCUAAAAAUUUGUAUGAUGAAUUAUUAUUAAAUUUGUAUGAUGGAUUUAUUUUGAUUUAUAAUAUAAAUUGGUUACUGAAUUGUUUUGUAGAGUGGUGUAUAAUAGCUAGUGGAUUUGUUAGUAUAUUUGAAGGCUAUUGAGAUAUGAGCAGGAUAUUUGUGAAAUAAUAAUUUAAAUUGAAUUAUAAAAUA